UACGAGUUAUUACUUGCUACUUGC
This 24-nucleotide non-coding RNA is filed under the name Arabidopsis thaliana (thale cress). Lineage: Eukaryota; Viridiplantae; Streptophyta; Magnoliopsida; Brassicales; Brassicaceae. The record is from RNAcentral.